AGAGGGAGUGCGCUGGAGAUAAAACAAAAGGGAGGGCUGAUGCCACGUCAUCGCCAGGUAAGCGGAGAGAGAGUGAAUCAGGAUGGUGUUUAACGGGAGGCGUGUCGCCGCAACGUCUGGAUCGACAACGCUUUUGGAGGGUUGCGAGUUAUAUCGGCUCGCGCAGAGAGUUCUUUCUAGUUCGCUGUCCAGCACACAAACGACGUGGGUUUCAUGAUCCGAGAGGAUCAAUCCCCCGACACUAUCCGGCUGGAAUUGACAGAGCUUUGAUCAAGGAAAAAGAAAUGGCCUUUGGAAACGGUCGAAUCCAGCUUAACAAAACUAAACAUUCAACAACCACGAUUUUA
Molecule: long non-coding RNA, 347 nt
Filed under: Selaginella moellendorffii
Lineage: Eukaryota; Viridiplantae; Streptophyta; Lycopodiopsida; Selaginellales; Selaginellaceae
Description: long non-coding RNA (SMOE_LNC001714)
Source: RNAcentral